GAUGAACGCUGGCGGCGUGCCUAAUACAUGCAAGUCGAGCGAACAGAUGAGGAGCUUGCUCCUCUGACGUUAGCGACGGACGGGUGAGUAACACGUGGAUAACCUACCUAUAAGACUGGGAUAACUUCGGGAAACCGGAGCUAAUACCGGAUAAUAUAUUGAACCGCAUGGUUCAAUAGUGAAAGACGGUUUUGCUGUCACUUAUAGAUGGAUCCGCGCCGCAUUAGCUAGUUGGUAAGGUAACGGCUUACCAAGGCAACGAUGCGUAGCCGACCUGAGAGGGUGAACGGCCACACUGGAACUGAGACACGGUCCAGACUCCUACGGGAGGCAGCAGUAGGGAAUCUUCCGCAAUGGGCGAAAGCUUGACGGAGCAACGCCGCGUGAGUGAUGAAGGUCUUCGGAUCGUAAAACUCUGUUAUUAGGGAAGAACAAAUGUGUAAGUAACUAUGCACGUCUUGACGGUACCUAAUCAGAAAGCCACGGCUAACUACGUG
This 497-nucleotide ribosomal RNA is filed under the name uncultured bacterium. Its description in RNAcentral is "partial 16S ribosomal RNA". It matches the Rfam family "Bacterial small subunit ribosomal RNA", at positions 28 to 507 of the family's 1533-position model. The record is from RNAcentral.